Molecule: microRNA, 22 nt
Filed under: Hyalella azteca
Lineage: Eukaryota; Metazoa; Arthropoda; Malacostraca; Amphipoda; Hyalellidae
Description: miR-190b
Source: RNAcentral
CUCGAUGAGGUAGAGGAUGUGA